UACGGAGGGGGCAAACGUUGUUAGGAAUUACUGGGCGGAAAGGGCGCGUAGGCGGCCAGUUGCGUCGGGUGUGAAAGCCCCGGGCUCAACCUGGGAGGUGCACUUGAUACGGGCUGGCUGGAAUCCGGGAGAGGAUGGUGGAAUUCCCAGAGUAGAGGUGAAAUUCGUAGAUAUUGGGAAGAACACCGAUGGCGAAGGCAGCCAUCUGGACCGGGAUUGACGCUGAGGCGCGAAAGCGUGGGGAGCAAACAGG
Molecule: ribosomal RNA, 253 nt
Filed under: uncultured bacterium
Lineage: Bacteria
Description: partial 16S ribosomal RNA
Rfam family: Bacterial small subunit ribosomal RNA
Source: RNAcentral